RNAcentral lists this long non-coding RNA (3534 nucleotides) under Homo sapiens (human). Its description in RNAcentral is "HSALNT0286775". The record is from RNAcentral. Lineage: Eukaryota; Metazoa; Chordata; Mammalia; Primates; Hominidae.
UAUCUCAGGCACUGGCUGUCAUGGACACUUGGGCAGUCUCAAAAGGCAACCCAGGAAAAUCAGAGUGGAGGACAAGCUGAAGGGCACACUCCACCUAAGGACACAAGAAGAUCAUGUUUCCUGAAGUCUGCUUUGCCAGUUACCCAGUUCUGCCAGGAGACGAUACUUGGGACCCAAGCAAACCAAGCCUCAGGAGCCACUUCAUGGGAAACUGCAAAAGCCUCUGCAAAGAUGACAGGCAUUCUGCCCAGAGGUCUACAUCACAGUUGGUUCUUGAAACUUCCUUUUAUAUUUUCCUUAGCUCUUUCAAUGGAGCUGGGUUUCCCACACGGGGAGUAUCCUGUGGUGGCUAAAUGUAGGGAUCCAACGUGAAGGAACAGCUCCUCUCACGAACACUGUUGGUCUCCUGGAUGGAGAAGGAAUGUGGUGAACCCUGAGCUGACUCUCAGGGCCUUUGUUCAGAACAUUUUACUUCUGCUCAUAUGUCAUAGGACAAAGCAAAUUACAUGGCUGAGCUGGAUGCAAAUGGGGAGGGGAAGAGGACUCUUCCCACAGGGAGGGGCAUAAGUCACACAGCCAAGGCUGAUGUCAACAGGGCAGGGAUGUAUAAUCCUCCCACAGGGAGGAGUAGCUAAUAUUUUUAACAAUAUUAUAAUCCACCACAGUGACCUCGAGCAUGUCACUUGACCUCUUUGUGCCUUGGUUUUCUCAUUGUUAAAAUGGAAAUAAUAAUAGAACUUACCUCAUAGGGUUGAUAUGAGGAUUCAAACGACUUAAUUCUAGUAGAGCAUUUAAAAUCCUGCCUAGUACAUAAUAAAUGCUAGAUAAGUGGUUGUUAAAUAAAAAUAAAUAAAAUGUUUGUCCAUACAAUUGUUUCCUCUUGCUAUGGUGAAAAUCGUGUAUCCCAUGCUUUAUUAUUACAUGCCUAGAAAUGAAGAUACUUUGCCUACAGGCAUUUAAAAACAAGACAUUUCUAUUUUUAAAAGCCUGUGGCUUUAAAAUUAAGGUUUCCAAAGUUGUGUCAUUGCUUAAACUUCUUGAAAGAUGUCCCUAUCAUGGCUUGCAGUCUGAUUAGUUCUUUCUGGAAAAGAGAAGAGAUUCUGUUUGGUAGGAAUAGGACAGCAGGUGGUGGUAGCAUAAAACAGAAGAAAAGCUGCACUGUUGAAAAAGGAUGGAAACCAAAAGGUCCAAAAACCUGCUCUCAGCUGUGAUAGAAACAGCAUCGCAGAAACCCAGUUAUAUGAACUGCUGUCUGAGUGGCCACCAUAUUUGGCGGGGGAAAAAAGGAUUUCUAUUCACAUUAUGCUUUUCUUUUUUUCCCUGCUAUACUCUGAGUGCCCAGUUGUGUACUUUGACUGAAAUACUUCUCACUCGGUAUGCCUGUUAAUCCCCUCUAGCAACAUUGAACACCCACUUGGGAUUCGCUAAAAGCACUGAAAGUUGUUUUGCUCAGUCAUCUUGCUUCCUGAAUUUAAAAAGGUAACAAUUGAUCCACACCUGAAAACAAAUCAGAAAAAAAAAAAAAAAUGUAGCUAUAGACAAAAAACCUAGCCUGCUGCACACCUCUUCCAAUCCCUACCAAAAGAACAACUACUUGUGUGAAGACUGGGAGAGAAAAGAUCUGAUUUUUUUUUCUUAUAAACCCUGCCUUGCACAAAAGAGAACUUAAUAAAUGCAUAUGAUAUUAAACUUCUCAUUAAAUAUCUUACAUCUUUUAUAUGUAUAUCCUGGGAUCUCUAAGGUGCUUUCCAGUCCUGGAGAUUCUAUACUGGAUAUAAAUAUUACAUAAAGCCUCACUGCCCGAGUGAGGGCUCUCUAAUUUCUCGCUGUCUCUAACCAUUUAUGCUGUACCGUCUUAAAUUAGAAUAAAGUCACCCAUUUCACAGGUGGCUUAGCCAAAAAAGCUCAUCUUAUUUCCAGAAGUCUGUAAACUUGAUUAUAAACCACAGACCUCUUCAGCCCUGAGAGUUGAUAGCAAGGCUACAGUAACUACCAUGGCUUACAUUCAUCAAUCAUUUUUACCAUGAACCAGGCACAUGAAUUAUUUCAUUUAACCUUCCCAAUGAGUAAGAAUUAAUCAUCGCUAUUUCACAUAUGAAGAAAUGCAGUAACCAAGAAGUAAUAUAAAUUGCUCAAAGUUAGUAUAAAGUGGUGAUUGAGCACUUGGAUUCUGAAAUUAGACAGCUGGAUUGUGGAGAUUCAUUUAAUCAUUUUUUAAAAUACGAUGAAUUAUUGCUAACUAUAGUCACCCUAUUGUGCUACAAAAUACUAGAUCUUAUUCAUUCCACAUUGUUGCAAGCCCUUCCACCUCUGGCUGAGUUCCAGGAGAUUUAAAGAGCUAGCACCUAUAAAAACUUUUUUUUUGUAAUAAAAAAAUCAUUAUGACCUAGGGCUAGGUGAAGAGUUUUUAGACUUAACACUAAAAGUAUGAUCCCUAACUGAAAAGUUUGAUAUUUUUGACCUCAUAAAAAUAAAACACUUUUGCUACAUUAAAUAUUCUAUUAAGAACAAAAAAAGACAAGCUACAUAGUGGGAGAAAAUCUUUGCAAACCUGAUAGUGGAAAAGGACUGGUACCUAGACUGCAUAAAAAACUUAUAAAGCCCAACAAUGAGAAAACAACCCAAUUAAAAAAUAGGCAAAAUAUCUGAACGGAUACCUGACUAAAGAAGACAUGCUGAUGGCAAAUAAAGUGCAUGAAAAGGCAUUCAACAUCAUUAGCCAUUAGGGAAAUUCAAAUUAAAACCACAAUGAGAUAUCAAUACACGCAAAUCAAGAGGGCUAAAAUAAAAACUUGUGGCAACAACAAAUGCUGAUGAGGAUGCUGAGAAACUAGAUCACUCAUACAUUAUGUGUGGGAAUGUAAAAUCGUACAACUACUCUGGAUAAUCACUUGGCAGUUCCUUUUAAAAUUUAAGUGGGCUUACCAUAUGACUCAGAUAUUGUACUUGCCAGUGAAAACUUGUUAUCGUACAAAUUUGUACACAGAAGUUCAUAGAUGCUGUAUUUAUAAUAGCUCCAAACUGGAGAUAACUAUGACCUUAGAUGGCUAUAUGGUUAAAGAAGCUGUGGUACAUCCAUCACAUGGAAUUACUGAACUAUUAAAAGGAAUGAACUAUUGAUUCAAGCAGCAACUUGAAUGUAUCUCCAGGGAAUUAUGCUGAGUGCAAAAAAGGUAAUCUCAAAAGGGCACAUACUAUAUGAUUCAAUUCAUAAAACAUUCUUGAAAUAAUAAAAUUAUAGACAUGGGGAAUGGAUUAGUGGUUGCCAGGUGCUAGGGAUGGUGGGAGAAAUGAUAUGGGUGUGGUUAUGAAGUAGUAGCAGGAGGGAGGCCUUUGUGGUAAUGGAAUAGCUCUGUGCCUUAAUUGUGGUCAUGCUUCUAUGAAUCUACACAUCGUAAAUGAAAUAUAUAUAUACAUCAUUCAGUGUCAGCUUCUGGUUUUGAUAUUGUACUAUAAUUACAUAAGAUACAAAACAUUGGGAGAAACUGGAUGAAGGGAAUACAGGCUCUUCCUGUACAUUUUUUAUAACUUCCU